AGGAGAAACAAGACAGAAGGUGGUACCAGAGAAGGAGUCAGCUCCCCAGGGCCUGGAAUCUGCAGUGUUGCCACCACUAGGGAAGAACAGCAAACCUGGGAGAAAGUGACUCUAUAACCAGUGGAAGAAAGGCUGUGUAGCCAUCACCGGAUCUCUGGGGGAAGAGAGAAGACACAGAGACACAGACCUGCCCCGGAGGAAUCCAGAGCCCACCUGCCCAGAGAGGCUCCACCUGAUUUCCCUGGCUCUGGGCACCCCCUUAAAAGCCCUUUAUGCCAUCUUUCCUUUCAGUCGAGUGAUGCAGGAUUUGGGACCAGACAGCCUUUGCUCAAAUCCUUCCACAGUUAUCUACCAGCUUGGUGGCCUUGGAGAAGUUAUUUCCCUGUUCUGGAUGUGCUUCCUCUUCUAUAAACUAGAGACACUACAAAUUCCCACCACAGAGGGGUAAAUGCAGCAUCCUGUACGUUAUGUGUUUGGCACAGGACCUGGGAUGCAGGAGGCACUCUGACCGGUGGCAUCCAGGAAGUAAGGAAUAUGGACUAAAGGGAGGGCCAAGGAAAAGUUUACAGGCUGUGGCUGUGCAGUUGGAAGAUGCAGAAGCGCCUCGCUUGGUGCUGCCAGCACUUUGGGAGGCCCAGGCGGAUGGAUCACCUGAUGU
Molecule: long non-coding RNA, 658 nt
Organism: Homo sapiens (human)
Lineage: Eukaryota; Metazoa; Chordata; Mammalia; Primates; Hominidae
Exons: 4
Source: RefSeq, a predicted model, not a curated record